UUUCAGUGCUAGCCCCUUUGGUGUGGGAGCAGUGGCUGGACGUUUCCGAUUUGGGAGCUGUGCUGAGGCUGUGCUGAGAAGGCACG
Aptenodytes forsteri (emperor penguin) is the source of this 86-nucleotide long non-coding RNA. RefSeq lists it as uncharacterized. NCBI's taxonomy places the organism in Eukaryota, Metazoa, Chordata, Aves, Sphenisciformes, Spheniscidae. The transcript has 3 exons. The record is from RefSeq and is a predicted model, not a curated record.